UUUUACUUCGAAUCCUUCACUCGAAGUUAGUGAAUCGGCCAAUAGAUGUUUCGAGACUCGCUCUUUAUCAAGUGUGACUAUUGUAAGGUUUUCUGGGUGCCAACACUGCUGAGCUGAGUCCUUUCCUGGAGCUGGAAGUAAGUCCUGUAUUUACCCGGCUCUGUUUUGCUACAAAAGUCAAGCUACACUCCUAUUCUUGUACCUCCUCAUUUCAGUCUGUGCUCCUUGCACAGAGAUAUAAGAACUAUAACUCACAGGCCACUACUGUGUAUAGCACACCUCCACUGUUCACUUGGGGACCCCUUUCAGUUUACUUUCUCUAGCCAAUUACAAUAAUGUGAGGCAUGUUUCCCGUCUCAGAGGAGAAUGAUGAAAUAAUCAAUUAAAUGAAUAAGGAGAGGGGACCACCAAUGAUGGGUACUUGUCUGUAUAAAGACUCAGUUACAAGAUCAAAAGAAAUAAAUAGGGAAAGAGGAGAUUUAGGAAGGUUGAGAAUAUUGGUAUCUGAAGGGUGGAAAGAUUGCUUGUGGGUGACUGUAAUUGUCCACUGCUGGAGUGUAAAAAUGGUGGUUAGAUUGAGAAAUUGUGAUGGCCAUGAAUGAGACAGGUACCGUAUGUGAUAACAGAAGUCAACCUAAAUCAUUUCAGGGCUGUGAAAACAUAGAAAUAAGAGAGCCGUGAUUCAGAGAAGUCAGAGACUGAUGUAGCAGAAGAUUUGGCAGAAGGAGAUAACAGAUGUUCACCUACACAGAGGGGAUCACCAGCGUUACAGUCAGUUACAAUAAAAGAUGAUUUUCCAUUUUUAUACUGCAUACCAAUAAAAAAAUUUAACUAACAAA
Molecule: long non-coding RNA, 839 nt
Organism: Xenopus laevis (African clawed frog)
Lineage: Eukaryota; Metazoa; Chordata; Amphibia; Anura; Pipidae
Exons: 2
Source: RefSeq, a predicted model, not a curated record